UCUAUGGGAUGGACAGCUCUCAUAUGUCUUGUAAGUGUUCCAGUCCCUCCUAAAUUUCGUUCGGUCAAAUGUUGAAAAGUUCCGUUACAAAAUUUGCACUUAACACUAUUAGUACCUUCUAUUAUUUCAAAAAAAUUCCAUACCGAACUUCUUCUUUUACGAUUAGAAGUCGGGUCAUUACUAUUACUACCAGAAGCUACAAGACUAGCAUCAUUAAACAUAUUGUAAAAAUG
RNAcentral lists this long non-coding RNA (233 nucleotides) under Nicotiana benthamiana. Its description in RNAcentral is "long non-coding RNA (NBEN_LNC009439)". Lineage: Eukaryota; Viridiplantae; Streptophyta; Magnoliopsida; Solanales; Solanaceae. The record is from RNAcentral.